This 1083-nucleotide long non-coding RNA is filed under the name Olea europaea subsp. europaea. Lineage: Eukaryota; Viridiplantae; Streptophyta; Magnoliopsida; Lamiales; Oleaceae. The record is from RNAcentral.
GGGUUAUCUUAUGUCUCUUAGAAAAGGGUUGUAACCCCAAUCUACACACUCAAGUGUGUGUAGCUUCCGAAUUUCUAAGUUUUCUCUCUGACUUCUUAUUAUUCUUUAUAAAGUUUGAGGGAAUUUUAUUGUGUACUUAGUGUAGGCAAAUGAACAGUAUUGUUGUUUAUUGUGGAUGUCUUACCUUUAAUUUUCUCAGUUUUGCCCUUGCCUUAUCUUCUUUCUGUUGGCGAUGGUGUUUCUCCCUCUGAAUUUUACUUUGGAUUAGAUUCACCAAUUGGUAAUAAGAAGAAGGAUUUUGGUUGCGAACAUCGAUCUAGAAUGGAGUUUCCACUAGCAGACCAUUCCAUAAAGCGUCUUUGGCCUUCUCAUCUGAUAUGGUUUCGCAGGCCAUCAAUUUGGCAAUAAACUGUGUGAAGUAGCUUUUUAGAAACUGUUUUUCCUCUUGCUACAAAUCAUUUAAUUGUGUGACCGGAGCUUGUCCCAACUUGUUUAUAAUAAAUGCCCCAAAAAGCUUGUUUCAAUUGGGGCCUGCUCCUAAUAAAUCCCAACAGUAAUUUGUUGUACCAUUUUUUGGCUGAUCUGUCCAAAGUUAAGUAAAAUCCUUGGCACUUUAGUGCAGGGCUUGCUCUUUUCAAGUUCAUUUGUGUCAUAUAUUUAGAUGAAUGGUACAUGAGGUCAUCUUUAUCAAUGUAUUUUAUUACUAGACAAAUGAAGUUAUCCGGGUAAGCUACCUUCUUGAUUUCCCUGGAGAAUGGUAUCCAUUCAUCGCCAUCGUCUGUUUCAUGUGAUCUGACUGAAAGAUCUUGAUACUCUUUUGUGGGAAAAGUAUUGUAUGAUGCUUCAACAUAGUUUCUAGUUCUUUGCUGUCCUUAGUGGUAGUUCUAGGUAGAUUUUCUAUUGAGGGAACACAGCUCAUCUGUAGAUUUUUCUGUUAUGUUUUUACCUUCAUAUUGCUAUAUCCUUUUCCUCUCGAAAUUAUCAUUAGUCUGUGAUAUAUGGAAACUGUUGCUUUUUUCACGAAAAGAAUUGUCAAUGCAUUUUUCCCUUUUGCUCCUAAAUUAUCCUAUAACUCUUCUGCUG